Long non-coding RNA from Aphis gossypii (cotton aphid), 405 nucleotides. RefSeq lists it as uncharacterized. NCBI's taxonomy places the organism in Eukaryota, Metazoa, Arthropoda, Insecta, Hemiptera, Aphididae. The record is from RefSeq and is a predicted model, not a curated record. The transcript is spliced from 3 exons.
AUAUACAUACAUUAGUACCUAUUUAGGGAACAAAGAAGAGACGUACAAGUUAAUCGUAUAAUGUAUUCAAAAUAAAAAAAGGUACCAGACGGUCGACUUGUGUGCAUGGGUGUGUCUUCGUUCCUCGCUCGUCAUCGUUGACAAAACUUAGUGGAGAAGUCGUAAUAUCUAACCGCUGCCGACGAAAAACGCAGUAAAUACGCCAAAAUGUUCUUACGCCUUGCAUUUCAAUUAAUGUAUACAAUAUUAUGAACAGAUAAAAAACCGACUAUGUAAUAGACAUAUUUUAUUAUAUUGUAUGCAGUCACUCGCCUGGGCGCCACAGAGUCUACAUAUUUGUAUCUGGAUUAUUAUUCAAAAAAAGCAAAACUGUUAUUUAACAUCCAUAACUGCAAUUUCCAAAUU